This 1193-nucleotide long non-coding RNA is filed under the name Homo sapiens (human). Its description in RNAcentral is "HSALNT0277408". The record is from RNAcentral. Lineage: Eukaryota; Metazoa; Chordata; Mammalia; Primates; Hominidae.
GGCUUCUACCGGUAGGUGACAGGGCAGUGUUCCCAGCAGUGGGACAAGAGGCACUGGCACCAGGCCAUGAGCCAUGCAUUCCUAGCUCUGCAGGGCAUGCAUGCCACGCGGACUGUGACAGUGAGCUCUUCCAGGCCCCCAGUGAGCCUGAGAGGGGGUCUGGGAAGAGUCAAGAGACACCCAGACAGUGCCAUGUGGCAGUGAAGCCUCUGGUCCCAAUCUGCCAGGGUGCAAAGCCCCAGGACUGCUGGUGGGAUGUUGGCACUACCCCGUUUUCCUUUUCCAGCUACAACAGAAUGGCAGAGAGGAAAGGACCCUCCGGGAUCUUCCAGUUCAGCCAGCCCAUUUUACAGAGGUGGAGACUGAGGCCAGAGAUUCCUUGAGAAAUUUAUUCAUCUGCCUCCAGCACCCAGAGCCGCCAGGGCCCAGAGAGAGCUCUGUGUUUGUGGAGUGAAUAUUAAAUGUCCUAUGAAUUCCACUCCCCGCCUUUCUGGACCAAAGCCUUUGUCUCUGUUCACUUCCUCUCAUUUGAGAUAAAAUUGAUUUGGGCUUUUCGAAUUCAAGUUUAAUUUCUCAUAAAAACACUAGAGAGCUGAGAACGUCCUCUCUUGGGGCCCAAGCUCUGUCUCCAACAGGCAACACACCGGGAAGCCAAGAGCCUAGGACGGCAGGACAAAGGCUUCCCCGCAGCCCAGGCUCAGCUCAGUCCACUGCAGUCUCCUCUCCCAGCCUUCUCCUUGCAGAUCAUCAUCUCUCCUGAUGGUCACACCCGUCUGCCUGCGCCUGGGUCCCAGCACUUCCUCUGUCUCCAGAGUCCCCUCUCCAGCAAUCACCCCUUCCUUCUCCCCAAAGCAUCCUCCUCCUUCUCUUCCGGAUCUUUCUCAUCAGCAUUUCAGUGAGUUGAAGUCUCUCCCUCUUAAAGAAUGAUGAUAAUACUAACAGCCACCCUUCUAGAACACCUCAUUCCCUUCUAUUUUGCCUCAUGUUCCUCUUUCAGUUUUACAAUUAUGCUUAUUGAAAUUUCCUGGGUUUUUUUGUUUGUUUGUUUUUGUUUUUUGAGACAGAGUCUUGCUCUGUCAUCCAGGCUGGAGUGCAGUGCCUUGAUCUGGGCUCACUGCAACCUCUGCCUCCUGGGUUCAAGCGAUUCUCAUGCCUCAGACUCCCAAGUAGCUGGGAUUAUAGGUGUGUGCCAC